This 1132-nucleotide ribosomal RNA is filed under the name uncultured Fusobacterium sp. Its description in RNAcentral is "bacterial SSU rRNA". The stretch from base 1 to 858 matches the Rfam family "Bacterial small subunit ribosomal RNA". The record is from RNAcentral. Lineage: Bacteria; Fusobacteriati; Fusobacteriota; Fusobacteriia; Fusobacteriales; Fusobacteriaceae.
GACGAACGCUGGCGGCGUGCCUAAUACAUGCAAGUAGAACGCUGAAGGAGGAGCUUGCUUCUCCGGAUGAGUUGCGAACGGGUGAGUAACGCGUAGGUAACCUGUCUGGUAGCGGGGGAUAACUAUUGGAAACGAUAGCUAAUACCGCAUAACAGUAGAUAUUGCAUGAUAUCUGCUUAAAAGGUGCAAUUGCAUCACUACCAGAUGGACCUGCGUUGUAUUAGCUAGUUGGUGAGGUAACGGCUCACCAAGGCGACGAUACAUAGCCGACCUGAGAGGGUGAUCGGCCACACUGGGACUGAGACACGGCCCAGACUCCUACGGGAGGCAGCAGUAGGGAAUCUUCGGCAAUGGACGGAAGUCUGACCGAGCAACGCCGCGUGAGUGAAGAAGGUUUUCGGAUCGUAAAGCUCUGUUGUAAGAGAAGAACGAGUGUGAGAGUGGAAAGUUCACACUGAGACGGUAUCUUACCAGAAAGGGACGGCUAACUACGUGCCAGCAGCCGCGGUAAUACGUAGGUCCCGAGCGUUGUCCGGAUUUAUUGGGCGUAAAGCGAGCGCAGGCGGUUAGAUAAGUCUGAAGUUAAAGGCUGUGGCUUAACCAUAGUACGCUUUUGGAAACUGUUUAACUUGAGUUGCUGGAUGGGAGAGUGGAAUUCCAUGUGUAGCGGUGAAAUGCGUAUAUAUAUGGAGGAACACCGGUGGUGUAAGCGGCUCUCUGUCUUGUACUGACUCUGUAGGUUCGAAAUUGUGUGUGCAAACAUGAUAAUAUAUUCUGGUAUUUGAGUAGUAGUCCAUCUGAAUUCAUGCUUAUGGAUCCGUGUCCCCUGGGGGGGGACAAAAAACUAUUAUUUUCUGUUGUGAUGUGCAUUACAUUAUUCUGUUGUGAUGCUUCUGUAUGUGUUUGUGUUAUUUGUGUUGUUAGUAUUGUGUGUCCCCCUCUCUUUGUGUUUUUCUUGUUUUUUAUUUUUAUUUUUUGCUAGUCUUGUCUAAGCAUAUGCAUGUGCCCUGUUGGAUUGCUAGUAUGUACUGAUGUUCUGUUGAUGCUGUUGCAUUGUCUGUAGUUCUGUUGUCCUGUGCUCUGUGUACUUGUGGUUUGUAUGUUGAUGUGAUGGGCGCGCUAUGCAGUAACC